GAGACUCUGUGCGCGUGCAUAUCAAUAAGCGGAGGAAAAGAAACUAACAAGGAUUCCCUAGUAACGGCGAGUGAAGCGGGAAGAGCUCAAAUUUGAAAUCUUAAAGGUUUUCCCUUGACGAAUUGUAGUUUAAAGAAGUGUUUUCUGUUGGAGUUUCGGUAAAAGUUCUUUGGAAUAGGACAUCAUAGAGGGUGAGAAUCCCGUAUUUGACCAUUAUUUCAGCUGUGUGAUACACUUUCAACGAGUCGGAUUGUUUGGGAAUGCAGUCCAAAAUGGGUGGUAAAUUUCAUCUAAAGCUAAAUAUUGGCGAGAGACCGAUAGCGAACAAGUACCGUGAGGGAAAGAUGAAGAGAACUUUGAAAAGAGAGUUAAACAGUACGUGAAAUUGUCAAAAGGGAAGCGUUUGACACCAGUGUUGUUUUCUCGAAAAAUCAAUUAAAAAUGGCAUUGAUUUUGUGUUGUAUUGACUUUAUCAGCUUUCUGCACUUUUUUCAUGUCUUUUUUAAUGCACUUUUCGUUUAACAAGUCAACAUCAAUUUCUUUUGCUGUAAAAGAGUCAUUGGAAGGUGGCUUUCUUUUCGGAGAAAGUGUUUAUAGCCUUUGACUUCUGCAGUCGGAGAGAUUGAGGUCUGCAGCGUAGAUCCUUCGGGGUUAGAUACAUUUGUGCUAAGUUAUAGCUUUUCAUAGACAACUUGUUGACUAUGUUAAGUCUUGUAAUUUACUCGCAGAUGCUAUUUUACCUACGCUUAGGAUGUUGAAGUCAUCGUAUCGCGC
This 774-nucleotide ribosomal RNA is filed under the name uncultured Neocallimastigales. RNAcentral's name for it is "partial large subunit ribosomal RNA". It matches the Rfam family "Eukaryotic large subunit ribosomal RNA", at positions 23 to 645 of the family's 3401-position model. The record is from RNAcentral. Lineage: Eukaryota; Fungi; Neocallimastigomycota; Neocallimastigomycetes; Neocallimastigales.